Hyaena hyaena (striped hyena) is the source of this 1079-nucleotide long non-coding RNA. RefSeq lists it as uncharacterized. The record is from RefSeq and is a predicted model, not a curated record. The transcript is spliced from 2 exons. Lineage: Eukaryota; Metazoa; Chordata; Mammalia; Carnivora; Hyaenidae.
AAAGCCCCGCCGGUCAUCCACGGGGGACGACCUCAUUUGCGCCCUCGGAUUGGGCCCACGAACCCAGACCGGGCCCUUCCAUUGGCGGGCGGAGCUGUCAGUUACUCAGCGCACAGCUUGCUGGGAGUUGUAGGCCGAGGAGUCCUUGUCCCGGAGGCUUCGGGCGCUAAGAAGGACUUUUCUGGUGGGCUGGUGUGAGCCCGCGAGUUCCCGCCCCGGCCUCCCCAGUGUAUUUUAGUUCAGGAACCCCCCAGGCCCAGCGCGCAGCUUCCAAGAGCUUCUUUUCCCGGGCCUACGGGCCCGGAGGUUGUGGGGACCCGUCUGCGAGACCGAGGGCGGUUCCCUGAGGCUGGAGAUGCCGUUGUUUGACCCGUCGGGGCCCAGGGCGCGGAAGACCUGAGGGUUAGGCGUUUGUCCCCCAGAAGCCUACAGUUCCGUACGCCAGAAACGGAGCAAGUUUGUCCGCCUGUUUGGCUCCGUCAGUCCAAGGGGGCCCGUGACUGGUCACAAUGGGAGAGUGGAGGAUGGCCAAGAGGGAGGAAACCCUUUGUGGACUCACAGAAUAAUCUGGAAGAUGGACGCGACAGGCAGCCUUGGCAAUUUCUUGGCCUCCUUCUUCAAGUAGCCUGAUUCGGCCCUGGGAGGGCUUUGCCACAACCCCAGAUCUGGGACCUGUAUCUCCACCAUUUCCAGAAAUGGAUUCUUCUGUUAUUUGUAUUUAAUGAACAUGUCGACUUGACAGAUUGAUCGUGACUUUUGACUUGAAGAGACCCUUCGGUGGGAUUGCGUUCGCUGCAGCUGUGUUCAUGGCUGGCUCCCCGUCAGAACAGUACGCCUCUGAGGAUGAAGGCUAUCGUCUGUGACAUUCUCUGUGCAUUCACAGCAGCUAGAUGCACGCCUGGCCCAGUACUGGAGCCCCAUAAACAUCUAUUAGAUGGACACGUGAGAAUACUGAGGCACGGCUACGUACGGACAUGGCCGGAGGUCACAGGAAGUUACUGGAGACUGGGGACAUGAAUGCGUCGUCUGACUCUUACUCUGUUGAGUUGUUCAGUGUAAUACCUGGUCUCUAUUCAGUA